Molecule: ribosomal RNA, 494 nt
Filed under: uncultured bacterium
Lineage: Bacteria
Description: partial 16S ribosomal RNA
Rfam family: Bacterial small subunit ribosomal RNA
Source: RNAcentral
AUUGAACGCUGGCGGCAUGCUCUACACAUGCAAGUCGAACGGCAGCGGGGAGGAGCUUGCUUCUCUGCCGGCGAGUGGCGAACGGGUGAGUAAUACAUCGGAACGUGUCGAGAAGAGGGGGAUAACCACCCGAAAGGGUGGCUAAUACCGCAUAAAUUCUGAGGAAGAAAGCUGGGGACCUAGGAAUAGGCCUAGCGCUUUUUGAGCGGCCGAUGUCGGAUUAGCUAGUUGGUGAGGUAAAGGCUCACCAAGGCGAAGAUCUGUAGCGGGUCUGAGAGGAUGAUCCGCCACACUGGGACUGAGACACGGCCCAGACUCCUACGGGAGGCAGCAGUGGGGAAUUUUGGACAAUGGGGGCAACCCUGAUCCAGCCAUGCCGCGUGUAUGAAGAAGGCCUUAGGGUUGUAAAGUACUUUUGUUAGGGAAGAAAAGUCAGCUGUGAAUAAUGGCUGAUACUGACGGUACCUAAAGAAUAAGCACCGGCUAACUACGUG